This is a non-coding RNA of Pseudomonas putida, 62 nucleotides long. Lineage: Bacteria; Pseudomonadati; Pseudomonadota; Gammaproteobacteria; Pseudomonadales; Pseudomonadaceae. The record is from Rfam.
GGCCGCCUGGGCCCCUGCAGCAGUCGAUCAACGCAUGCUGCUGCAGUCGAAUACCGGCCGCC